UGGGGAAUUUUGGACAAUGGGGGAAACCCUGAUCCAGCCAUGCCGCGUGAGUGAAGAAGGCCUUCGGGUUGUAAAGCUCUUUCAGCCGGAACGAAACGGUCACGGCUAAUACCUGUGACUACUGACGGUACCGGAAGAAGAAGCACCGGCUAACUACGUGCCAGCAGCCGCGGUAAUACGUAGGGUGCAAGCGUUAAUCGGAAUUACUGGGCGUAAAGCGUGCGCAGGCGGUUUUGUAAGUCAGAUGUGAAAUCCCCGGGCUUAACCUGGGAACUGCGUUUGAAACUACAAGGCUAGAGUGUGGCAGAGGGGGGUGGAAU
RNAcentral lists this ribosomal RNA (320 nucleotides) under uncultured Nitrosovibrio sp. RNAcentral describes it as "bacterial SSU rRNA". It matches the Rfam family "Bacterial small subunit ribosomal RNA", at positions 355 to 667 of the family's 1533-position model. The record is from RNAcentral. Lineage: Bacteria; Pseudomonadati; Pseudomonadota; Betaproteobacteria; Nitrosomonadales; Nitrosomonadaceae.